CCCCUAGUAACGGCGAGCGAAGCGGGAAGAGCUCAAAUUUGAAAGCUGGCACCUCCGGUGUCCGCGUUGUAAUCUCGAGACGUGUUUUCCGUGCGGCUCUAUGGACAAGUCCCUUGGAAUAGGGCAUCGUAGAGGGUGAGAAUCCCGUACUUGCCAUGGAAGAACCGUGCUUUGCGAUACACGCUCUAAGAGUCGAGUUGUUUGGGAUUGCAGCUCAAAAUGGGUGGUAGACUCCAUCUAAAGCUAAAUAUCGGGGAGAGACCGAUAGCGAACAAGUACCGUGAGGGAAAGAUGAAAAGCACUUUGGAAAGAGAGUUAAAAGUACGUGAAAUUGUCGAAAGGGAAGCACUUGAAGUCAGCCAUGCUGCUUGAGACUCAGCCUGGCCUUUGGGCUUGGUGUAUUUCUCGGUGGCAAGCCAGCAUUGGUUUGGGUCGUCGGAGAAGCGCAUAGGGAAUGUAGCGUCUCCGGACGUGUUAUAGCCUUAUGCAGGAUACGACGACCUGGAUCAAGGAACGCAGUGUGCCCUCUGGGCGGGUCUUCGGGACACCUUCACACUUAG
RNAcentral lists this ribosomal RNA (560 nucleotides) under Malassezia furfur. Its description in RNAcentral is "LSU rRNA". It matches the Rfam family "Eukaryotic large subunit ribosomal RNA", at positions 77 to 620 of the family's 3401-position model. Lineage: Eukaryota; Fungi; Basidiomycota; Malasseziomycetes; Malasseziales; Malasseziaceae. The record is from RNAcentral.